Cotesia glomerata is the source of this 436-nucleotide long non-coding RNA. RefSeq lists it as uncharacterized. The record is from RefSeq and is a predicted model, not a curated record. The transcript is spliced from 6 exons. NCBI's taxonomy places the organism in Eukaryota, Metazoa, Arthropoda, Insecta, Hymenoptera, Braconidae.
UUGGACAUUGUUGAUCAAGAAAAUUUUUUUGAAAUUUGAAUUUGGAAGAUUUCGAAAGCUUUCAGUUCUUGACAUUGCCAAGUGUAUCAUUUUACUGAUAUCUUGAACGUCAUGUGGAUUUUUUGGUGACCGAAAAUUUUGCAGAAAACUAUUUUAGGGUUUGAAGAUGUGUGAUUGACAUAAAUUGAUCAUGGAGAUUUCGAGUUGUCGCUGUAUUAUUCAUCUGUGAAAUGGCACUUGCUGAUUUCGUCGAUCAAAUGCCUCUGUCUUCAAAAUGAUAGUCGUUCACUGCUUUGAGAUUAUUUGAUCUACUGAUGAAACCCCAGGCAUCAUUGAAGAACAAUAAAGCGACAUAGUGCAGAAUGUAGUACAGCAAGGGCGAUCGAAUAGACGGAGCGUCGCUCGAAAAGGUUACAAGGACUUCUAAAUGUUGAUG